GCCAAUGAGACCUGAAAGGAAGUCUGCUAGGAGGCUUUGGGAAAGUUUCUUUGCUCUUAAAGAUACAGAACCAACCAUCAAUGACUUGGAUAGUAUCUCCAUUCAACACAGAAGAGAUCUAGUUUCAGAGAGGCUUGAUAAAGGCCCUAAGUUCAACUGAACUGUAAGACCCCACCCACUGAGUUCUCGCAAAUGAAAUGUGCGAUAUGUUGUUUGCCCGUUCCAGAUUCAUUCUCCACCCUUAAAAAGCAAAGCCGGUGGUUUAACUCAAGGCACAUCAGACUCCAAGGCCCUUGCUCUUUUCACCAACCACAAGUUCUACUAUUCCAAGAAGGAAAGAGGGAAGGAGGGAGUAAAAAAUAAAUAAAUAAAUAAAUGACA
Zalophus californianus (California sea lion) is the source of this 381-nucleotide long non-coding RNA. RefSeq lists it as uncharacterized. NCBI's taxonomy places the organism in Eukaryota, Metazoa, Chordata, Mammalia, Carnivora, Otariidae. The record is from RefSeq and is a predicted model, not a curated record. The transcript is spliced from 2 exons.